RNAcentral lists this long non-coding RNA (863 nucleotides) under Gallus gallus (chicken). Its description in RNAcentral is "lncRNA (ENSGALG00010006309.1)". Lineage: Eukaryota; Metazoa; Chordata; Aves; Galliformes; Phasianidae. The record is from RNAcentral.
ACAGCACUUCCUGCUAGCACUUCAGAUUUUAGAGAGGAGAAGCAGAAGUUACCUGAUUCCGUAGUGUGGAUUUUUGCUUUCUUUUUUUUUUUUUUCAUUUUUUCUUUUUUUCCCCUUCCUUACUGCCUUUGCCUGUAGCCAGUGAAUUAGUUUUACCCUGAGGAUUCAACACAUUGAUAAGGUCUAUCAUCGCGGUGAGCACAUUCCUGAUAUACUGUCCUCAAGAGCAGCUACACCAGGUAAACCUCAGCUAGCAGUUCUGUGUCUGAAAAUGGAGCAAAUACUUAUGAGCACCGAAGAAGAAGGGCAAGUGUGGAGUCAUCGUCCCUCUAUCGUGUAUACAAUCCCUCAGUUUCAUUGCAUGAGACAAAUGAAACAUGGAGGAUUCACAGUUGCCAUAGUUGCCCUUCAGCAUUAAUCAUGCCAACAGCAUUGUGGAGAUCUCUGUGAUUCUGUUGUGUCUAGCCAAAAGUCCUGUGGAAGGAGGGAAGCUGGGGCACAGCAAUAUGUACUCUGUGUAAAGAGGUUAGAUUUGUAAAGCCUGCCAAAGUGUGCCAGAAUCACCGAAAGAGGAGAAAACCUUGAGAAAAUGCAGUGGAUCAUGGAGCACUGUCACCACUAUGAGACAGACAAAAGGUCUCAUGAUAGAAAACAUAAAACAGAGCAGAAGAAUGUUUGGCAGAAGAACCUGUUUUUUCAAUAGCUUGACCUGAGACUAACCUAUGUAGGAAGCAAUGUUUUCCCUUCAAGCUUAUACAGACUCACAAGGGUGCUUUGUGGGGAUGGGAGACAAUGAGUUUAUGAUGUUUUGAGUAUCAAAAUAAGCUACAAAAACUUGAGCAUUUCUAAUUAAACUGAAGAGU